RNAcentral lists this ribosomal RNA (388 nucleotides) under uncultured bacterium. RNAcentral's name for it is "bacterial SSU rRNA". It matches the Rfam family "Bacterial small subunit ribosomal RNA", at positions 30 to 417 of the family's 1533-position model. The record is from RNAcentral.
ACUGAACGCUGGCGGCAUGCUUUACACAUGCAAGUCGAACGGUAACAGGGAGCUUGCUCCGCCGACGAGUGGCGAACGGGUGAGUAAUGCAUCGGAACAUGCCCAGUCAUGGGGGGAUAACUACGCGAAAGCGUAGCUAAUACCGCAUACGCCCUGAGGGGGAAAGUGGGGGGUCUUAGGACCUCACGUGAUUGGAGUGGCCGAUGUCAGAUUAGCUAGUUGGUGAGGUAAAGGCUCACCAAGGCGACGAUCUGUAGCGGGUCUGAGAGGAUGAUCCGCCACACUGGGACUGAGACACGGCCCAGACUCCUACGGGAGGCAGCAGUGGGGAAUUUUGGACAAUGGGCGCAAGCCUGAUCCAGCCAUGCCGCGUGAGUGAAGAAGGCCU